GCCUGGGUGGCUCAGUCGGUUAAGCAUCCGACUUCAGCUCAGGUCACGAUCUCGCGGUCCGUGGGUUCGAGCCCCGCGUCGGGCU
Non-coding RNA from Felis catus (domestic cat), 85 nucleotides. NCBI's taxonomy places the organism in Eukaryota, Metazoa, Chordata, Mammalia, Carnivora, Felidae. The record is from Rfam.